AGCGAACGCUGGCGGCAGGCUUAAUACAUGCAAGUCGAGCGCCCGUAGCAAUACGGGAGCGGCAGACGGGUGAGUAACACGUGGGAACAUGCCCUUCGGUUCGGAAUAACUCAGGGAAACUUGAGCUAAUACCGGAUACGCCCUUACGGGGAAAGAUUUAUCGCCGAAGGAUUGGCCCGCGUCCGAUUAGCUAGUUGGUGAGGUAAUGGCUCACCAAGGCGACGAUCGGUAGCUGGUCUGAGAGGAUGAUCAGCCACACUGGGACUGAGACACGGCCCAGACUCCUACGGGAGGCAGCAGUAGGGAAUAUUGGACAAUGGGGGAAACCCUGAUCCAGCCAUGCCGCGUGGGUGAUGAAGGCCCUAGGGUUGUAAAGCCCUUUCGGCGGGGAAGAUAAUGACGGUACCCGCAGAAGAAGCCCCGGCUAACUUCGUGCCAGCAGCCGCGGUAAUACGAAGAGGGCUAGCGUUGCUCGGAAUCACUGGGCGUAAAGCGCACGUAGGCGGAUCCUUCAAGUCGGGGGUGAAAUCCUGGAGCUCAACUCCAGAACUGCCCUCGAUACUGAGGAUCUUGAGUCCGGGAGAGGUGAGUGGAACUGCGAGUGUAGAGGUGAAAUUCGUAGAUAUUCGCAAGAACACCAG
Molecule: ribosomal RNA, 641 nt
Filed under: uncultured bacterium
Lineage: Bacteria
Description: bacterial SSU rRNA
Rfam family: Bacterial small subunit ribosomal RNA
Source: RNAcentral